GAAGCUGCACGGUUUCUGUCUCGGGGAGGGCGGCGGCUGAGGGAGCUGCGGCGGGAGCUGUGGCGGCGCUGGGCGCCGCUCGCCCCUCGGCCUCCGGGGGCCAUGGGCUCUGAGAAGGACUCCGAGUCGCCGCGCUCCACGUCCCUCCACGCGGCAGCGCCGGACCCCAAGUGCCGCAGCGGCGGCCGGCGCCGGCGCCUCCCCUUCCACAGCGUCUUCUCCGCGUCGGCCCGCGGCCGCCGCGCCCGAGCCAAGCCGCAGGCCGAGCCGCCGCCCCCGGCCGCGCCGCCGCCGCCCACCCCGGCUCCCGCCCCGGCCCCGGCCGCGGCCCCGGCCCCGCUGCCCGAGGCGCUGCCCGCCGAUCCGGUCGCCGAGGCCGAGGAGGAGGCCGAGGCGGCGGUGGCGGCGGGGCCCGGGUUCGACGAUGAGGAGGCGACGGAGGGCGGCGGCCCGGGCCCGGAGGAGGUGGAGUGCCCGCUGUGCCUGGUGCGCCUGCCGCCCGAGCUGGCCCCGCGCCUGCUCAGCUGCCCGCACCGCUCGUGCCGGGACUGCCUCCGCCACUACCUGCGCCUGGAGAUCAGCGAGAGCCGGGUGCCCAUCAGCUGCCCCGAGUGCAACGAGCGGCUCAACCCGCACGACAUCCGCCUGCUGCUCGCCGACCCGCCGCUCAUGCACAAGUACGAGGAGUUCAUGCUGCGCCGCUACCUGGCGGCGGACCCCGACUGCCGCUGGUGCCCGGCGCCGGACUGCGGUUAUGCGGUUAUUGCCUAUGGCUGUGCCAGCUGCCCAAAACUGACCUGUGGGAGGGAAGGCUGCCAGACUGAGUUCUGCUACCACUGCAAGCAAAUAUGGCAUCCAAAUCAGACAUGCGAUAUGGCCCGUCAGCAGAGGGCACAGACUUUUCGAAUACGGACCAAGCACACUUCGGGUCUCAGUUACGGACAAGAAUCGGGACCAGCAGAUGACAUCAAGCCAUGCCCACGAUGUAGUGCUUACAUUAUCAAGAUGAAUGAUGGAAGCUGUAAUCAUAUGACCUGUGCAGUAUGUGGCUGUGAAUUCUGUUGGCUUUGUAUGAAAGAGAUCUCAGACUUACAUUACCUCAGCCCCUCUGGCUGCACAUUUUGGGGCAAGAAGCCAUGGAGCCGUAAGAAGAAAAUUCUUUGGCAGCUGGGCACAUUGAUUGGUGCUCCAGUGGGAAUUUCCCUCAUUGCUGGCAUUGCCAUUCCUGCCAUGGUCAUCGGCAUUCCUGUUUAUGUUGGCAGGAAGAUUCAUAGCAGGUAUGAGGGAAGGAAAACCUCCAAACAUAAGAGGAAUUUGGCUAUCACAGGAGGAGUGACUUUGUCGGUCAUUGCAUCCCCAGUUAUUGCUGCAGUUAGUGUUGGUAUUGGUGUCCCCAUUAUGCUGGCUUAUGUCUAUGGGGUUGUGCCCAUUUCUCUCUGUCGUGGAGGUGGUUGUGGAGUUAGCACGGCCAACGGAAAGGGGGUGAAAAUUGAGUUUGAUGAAGAUGAUGGCCCAAUCACAGUGGCAGAUGCCUGGCGAGCCCUUAAGAAUCCCAGCAUUGGAGAAAGUAGCAUUGAAGGUCUGACCAGUGUCUUGAGCACCAGUGGAAGCCCUACAGAUGGACUCAGUGUUAUGCAGGGCCCAUACAGUGAGACAGCCAGCUUUGCAGCCCUCUCAGGGGGCACCCUGAGUGGUGGCAUCCUUUCCACUGGCAAGGGAAAAUACAGCAGGUUAGAAGUCCAAGCCGAUGUCCAAAAGGAAAUUUUCCCCAAAGACACAGCCAGUCUUGGUGCAAUUAGUGACAACGCAAGUACUCGUGCUAUGGCCGGUUCCAUAAUCAGUUCCUACAACCCACAGGACAGAGAAUGCAACAAUAUGGAAAUACAAGUGGACAUUGAAGCCAAACCAAGCCACUAUCAGCUGGUGAGUGGAAGCAGCACAGAGGACUCGCUCCAUGUUCAUGCUCAGAUGGCGGAGAAUGAAGAAAGUGGUGGUGGCAGCAAUGAAGAGGAUCUCCCCUGCAAACACCAAAGCUGUGAACAGAAAGACUGCCUGGCCAGCAAACCUUGGGACAUCAGCCUGGCCCAGCCCGAGAGCAUCCGCAGUGACCUGGAGAGCUCAGAUACGCAAUCAGAUGAUGUGCCAGAUCUCACUUCAGAUGAGUGCGGCUCCCCUCGCUCCCAUACUGCAGCCUGCCCCUCGACUCCCAGAGCCCAAGGUGCGCCGAGCCCAAGUGCCCAUAUGAACCUCUCUGCCCCAGCUGAGGGGAAGACUGUGUUGAAGCCAGAAGGUGCAGAAGCCAGAGUAUGAAGUGGAAUGAAUGCUCCUGUUCCGAGAAGCACACUUGUUAUGCACCUGCUCUUUGUCUUCCUGGCCUGUGCUUUUCUACAAUGAGGAUGAUGAGUCUGGACAACAGCCAACCUGGAAGAUUCUUUUCUCUUGGGCAUUGCAGCCAGACUUAGCACAUUUCCCUGCACCUGGAACUGGAAAUGCUGUCAGUGGACUUUGGGUCUUUGGAAAAAGGCACCCUAGAGGGUGUCCCUGUGUGAAAAAGGAAGCCUGUUGGGGAAAAAAGGCAGACAGUCUGAAAUGCAAAUUAUUAACUCUCCACGUGCAAUUCUCUUGAAGCCUCAGGAGAGCAAUUAACUUGGAUGAAAUCAAGGAAGUCUGUUGGAGGGGCAGGAGUUUGCAGCCAAACCUGUAUUCUUACCUGGGCCCCACUUCUUGUAGCUGUGAAACUUUUGCAACUUACUCUGAGUCUGUUUUCACUUCGCCGAAAUGGGGAUAAUAAUUCUAAUUGUGGGGCUGUAAAGAUUGAGAUGGUGUACUGAAAAUGCUUUUGACGUUAGCAGAUGAAAGACCCUUCGCCACCACUCAAAGACCGGGAGUAAUGCAUCGGGAAAGUUGGUCCAGUUAUCUAUUUAUUUUUAUUGACUUGAGGGAGGGAGAGAGACAAAUAUUGACUUGUUGCCCUGACCGGGGACCAAACCCACAACUUUGGCAUACCAGGAUGAUGCUCUACCCAACUGAGCUACGCACCCAGGACCUAAAAGUGGGUCAGUUUAGAACGUAGGGAAUGUUUUAAGUAGAGCUUUCAUUCAUAUCUGCUAUGUUUCAGGUAUACUAUGCAUCAAUGAGGAAAACAAAGGUCUGUCCCCAUGGAACUAACAUAGUGGGGAAAGGUGAUCAGAUUCAUUAUCUGGAUGAGGGUAAAUGCACUAAAGAAAACAAAGCAGGGAAGGUGAAGAGAGUUGCAGGUGGUGCUACUUUAGAUGGAUAGUAUAGGCCUCUUCAACAAGGUAACAUUUUAUUAGAGUCCUGAGUGGAGUGAGGACCAUGUGAUACCAAGCAUGAGGAAUAAAGUACAAAGGCCCUUUGGUAGAGCGUCCUUAGUCUGUUUACUUACACACACACACACAACAUACAGGCCUGUGUGGCUGGGACAAAGUGGACCAAGGAGGAGAGUAGUAGAUUAGGUUGACAAGGUGGCUGGGAACAAGAUGUGUAGAUUAGCAAAACAACUCUGAAGACAAGGAAAUGUUAGGUUCCUCUCAGGCCAGGAAGAGAUCAUCUUCAAAGCCAGACAGAUGGGCUCUUGUGGUCAACUUUCAAAGGGGCUAAUGCUGAAAGGGCAUGUCUGGUCACAAGUCGUAUUUGGGCCAAUGGGAAGAAACUGGAUAUGGAAAAUGGAUACUUAUUUAUUCCAACCUCUUUCUAAUGUGCUUUUUGGGACCCAAAAGGUCUCUGUGAUCUAGUUAGAUUAGAGGCUUAUGGGGUAUUAAUGGGUUGAAUUGUGUCCCCCAAAAUAUGUUGGAGUUCUAACCCCAAUACCUCAGAAUCUAACCUUAUUUGGAAAUAGGGUUGUUGCAGGUGUAAUUAAGAUGAGGUCAUACUGGAGUAGGAUGGGCCCCUAAUCCAAUAUGAUUGGUGCCAUAUAAAAAAGGGAAAUUUCGACACAGAAACACUCAGAGAGAACACCAUGUGAAGAUGAAAGCAGAGAUCGGGAUGAUAACAGCAGAAGCCAAGGCAUGCCAAAGAUUGCCAGCGAACCGUCCAGAAGCUAGGAGAGAGGUAUGGAACAGAUUCUCCUAUAUAGUUCUCAGAAGGAACCGACCCUGCAGACACCUUAAUCUUGGACUUUUAACCUCCAGAACUGUGAAAUAAUAAAGUAGUGUUUAAGCCACCCAAUUUGUGGUGCUUUAUUACAGCGUACCUAGCAAACAUAGGGGUCAAGUAAUUUAUUUUUUUAAAUAUAUUUUUAUUGAUUUCAGAGAGAAAAGGAGAGGGAGAGAGAGAUAGAAACAUCAAUGAUGAGAGAGAAUCAUUGAUCAGCUGCCUACUGCAUGCCCCCUACUGGGGAUCGAGCCUGCAACCUGGGCAUUUGCCCUGCCCGUGAACCAGUUCAUAGGUCGACAUUCAACCACUGAGCCACUGCGGGUGGGCAGGGGUCAAGUAAUUUAAAAGGAAUUUUGGCCUGGUUCUGUCCCACAUAUCCAUCCCAUUAUUUCCCAGUUCCUGUAGUUACAGUUGUAAUAGACAUACUUGGCAACUGGCAGAACCUUCACACUGGCACGUAGUGUGAAAGCUGUGUAAGAAGAACAAAGGGAAGUCCCCAGAACUAUUCUUCCCCACCAGAAUCAUAAGCCAAAAGCCACAGUGCAACCCUGAGGGAAUAGUAGAUAUUACCACCACCAUCAGAGACUGAGAAAUUCAGGAGUGGUGACCCCUAUCUGUUCACAUUUAAGUCAUUUGCCCUGUACAGGACUUGGCUUGUAGCUGUUCUUUCAGGUACCUCUUUAUAAAGCAAAUCAGCACAUCGCUGGCACCUGCAGCCAUGCAACUAUUGACCUGGAAUAUCCUUUUCCCCUCUAGCCCAAAGAACAGAAAACAUAAACGCAGAUUACUUUCACCUGCAGGGUCAGCAGUCCAUCUUGCUGUUGUACAUCUGGCUUAUGUCCGCUCUCCGGCUCUGUUGAAAUCUCAUCUGCAGGCACUUUAUCAUCUCACCUUUCACAGCAGGACAUCACUCGACAUGUGAUGACAUGUUUUGGAUCUAAUAAGAUGUGGCAGAAGAAAAUUGAGACACAAGUCAGAAGACAAAAAAAACAAAAUCCUGAUGAUGAGUGCCUGCAACUCCCUCAGCCUCCGCCUGAGGCCGGCGGACCUGACUGUCUUCACGAAUCGCUGUGAUCUAGGUCAUGGAGAUCCAGUGCAGCCAGCCCUGCCAGCCUCACUGCAGCUGACUGGACACAGAAUGUGGGCCCCAGCCAAAUGCUGCCGUGAACAACCUAGAUGUGAUGGAGGCCAACCCCCUGUGUGGGACUGUCCGGUACGGGAGACAUAAGUGCUAGGAGCAUACCCAGAGCAUGUCACCUGAUGUCGCCAGACCAUUGUCCCUGUUCUUUAGGGACCUGUUAGCCUUCAAAGGUGCUUCCAAGUCUGAUUUUCAGGAAUUUAAAAUCAGUGAUGGCUUCCCUGAUACCUCACUUCCUCUGUGUCCCUGCCAUCGCCCCCAUUACCAAAAGUUAUCAGAACAUGGCUCUUUCUUGUACACGUAAGAAGCUCAUGAACUUACCCAAACAUGGCCACUGGUUUCCUGAAGAUCACAGCCAGAUCAAAAAAGAAGCAAGCUAAUAAAAUUAAAAUAAAAUCCAUUACUGCUAUACUAAAAAAAGAAAAAAAAAAAAGGAGGAGGAGGAGGCCACAACCCAGAUCUGGAACUCCAGAUAUCGUGCCCCCUCCACUCUGACAUGGCUAUCUCACAUGCAGAUAUGAGAGAGAGGGCUUCAUGCACGGAGGGCGACAGUGAGCGAAGACUGCUGGCACUGUGUGCUUGGAUUCUGAGGCCUGGACUGUCAUCAGAAGGAUUCAGCAAGGGCAGGGUCACUGUCCCUCCUCUUAACCUGCAUUGGAGAUGCUGCUUAACUUGACCUUUGUGGCCUGCCUUUGUGAGCCACACCACUUUGAAUGCAUCCAUUAUUCAUUCAUGAUUUUGUAACAUCUUGUAUUGGUUGCUUGGAAAACAUUGAUUCACUGAGAGGGGCAGAUCUUCCAAAUGUUGAAUUUUCCAAAAGUCUUUUUUUCAUUCAAAAGCUCAAAUUUUAUCAUUGGCAGCAAAUAUUUUCAAUAUUUCUCCUUGAAUUGACAGGCUCACUUCCUUCAUUUUAGAGAAAAUGUCUGCAGAAACCCACAUUUGCAUAAUCUUAGUGUAUCUUUCAAUCAGGAGAAAUGGUGUUCAUGAAAAGAAGCAGCUAGUUCAGCUUGCAACUCAAACAAUGGCACAGGUGCUUCUCCUGGAGACAACCAUGGUACUUAGGCAGCCAGCAGAAUGCUUCCGUUCUGUCAAAAUAUUUAAAAGAAGUAUACCCAGGGGUAGAAAUGUAAUAGAGUUAAUGAUUUUUACUGUUUCAUCACGUCAUUCUCAAGUGAAACUGGCAUAUUUAUUUCUCAUACUGUGUGCACAUGGCAGUGACAAUACAAUGACUACAUAUAUAGCUCAGAGCCGCUGCCUUCCUUUGUGCUAAGGGGCCUCAUCAUUGCCUUUCCACCAUCAAAAAAGCAAAAGAACAUCAAAGUAGAUUAAGAAAAUAAUUUUGACUUCACAGAUCCUCUGAAAAGGUCUUUGAGGACCCUCAUUGGUUCCCAGACCAUACUUUGAGAACCACGGAUUUAAUGCUCUAUUCAUCAGUUAAUGCCUACCAUGUGACUGUUCUAGGCGCUGAAUAUUGAGUGGUGAGCUAUAUAUGAGAUACUUAGGGCCUCUGUUCUUAAUGUUCUUGUUAUGUCCUUUGAAGCAAAAAGUUUUUCAUUUUGAUGAAAUCAGAUUUAUCUGUGGUUGUUUGUGCUUUUGGUGUCAUACCUAAGAAAGCAUUGCUUAAUCCAAGGUCACAAGGGUUUAUGCCUACGUUUUCUUCUAAGAGUUUUAUAGUUUUAGUUCUUACACUUUGAGUUAAUUUUUGUAUAUGGUAUGAGGUAGGGGUCCAACCUCAUUCUUUUUUGUUGUUGUUGUUUUUGUUGUUAAUCUUCAACUGAAGAUAUUUUUUCCACUGAUUUUUAGAGAGAGUGGAAGAGAGGAAGGAAAUGGUGGAGGGGAGAGAGAGAAAAAGAAAGGGAAAGAGAGAGAGAAAUAUUAAUGUGAAAGACACAUUGAUUGAUUGCCUCCCCUACAUACCCCUACUGAAGCCAGGGAUUGAACCUGCAACCCAGGUAUGUGCCCUUGACCGGGAAUUGAACCUAUGACCCUUCAGUGCUCAGGCCAAUGCUCUAACCACUAAGUGACACCAGCCAGGGUCCAAUCUCAUUCUUUGGCAUGUGGAUACCCAGUUGUCCCAGCUACAUUUGUUGGUAACUGUUUUUCUCCCUUAAAUCCUCUUGGUACCCUUGUCAAAAAUCAGUUGAUCAUAUGUGUAUUUUUAUUUCUGGUUUCUUUAUUGGACUCACCAUUUCAUUCCUCUCAUCUGUAUGUCUAUUCUUAUGCCAGUACCACAUUGUAUUGAUCACUGUAGAUUUGUAGUACAUUUUGAAAUUGGGAAGUGUGAUUGUUUCUUUUUAUGGUUAUUUUGGCUAUCCUGGAUCUUUUGCAUUUCCAUAUGAUUUUAGGAUCAACUUGUGAAUUUCUAUUUUUU
Myotis daubentonii (Daubenton's bat) is the source of this 7625-nucleotide RNA transcript. It is a transcript of the gene named ring finger protein 19B, with no coding region annotated. The record is from RefSeq and is a predicted model, not a curated record. NCBI's taxonomy places the organism in Eukaryota, Metazoa, Chordata, Mammalia, Chiroptera, Vespertilionidae.